CGCGGGAUAGAGCAGUCCGGUAGCUCGUCAGGCUCAUAACCUGAAGGUCGGUGGUUCAAAUCCAUCUCCCGCAACCA
This 77-nucleotide transfer RNA is filed under the name Alphaproteobacteria bacterium. RNAcentral describes it as "tRNA-Met". It matches the Rfam family "tRNA". From Rfam's summary of the family: Transfer RNA (tRNA) molecules are approximately 80 nucleotides in length. Their secondary structure includes four short double-helical elements and three loops (D, anti-codon, and T loops). The record is from RNAcentral. Lineage: Bacteria; Pseudomonadati; Pseudomonadota; Alphaproteobacteria. RNAcentral also lists the same sequence under 1 other name.